RNAcentral lists this non-coding RNA (28 nucleotides) under Homo sapiens (human). Lineage: Eukaryota; Metazoa; Chordata; Mammalia; Primates; Hominidae. The record is from RNAcentral.
UGGGCCUGUAGCUACUGGUUCUGCUUCC